CAUGCAAGUCGAACGGAAAGUGCUCUUCGGAGUGACUCGAGUGGCGAACGGGUGAGUAACACGUGGGUGAUCUGCCCUGCACUUUGGGAUAAGCCUGGGAAACUGGGUCUAAUACCGAAUACACCCUGCUGGUCGCAUGGCCUGGUGGAGGAAAGCUUUUGCGGUGUGGGAUGGGCCCGCGGCCUAUCAGCUUGUUGGUGGGGUGAUGGCCUACCAAGGCGACGACGGGUAGCCGGCCUGAGAGGGUGUCCGGCCACACUGGGACUGAGAUACGGCCCAGACUCCUACGGGAGGCAGCAGAGGGGAAUAUUGCACAAUGGGCGCAAGCCUGAUGCAGCGACGCCGCGUGAGGGAUGACGGCCUUCGGGUUGUAAACCUCUUUCAAUAGGGACGAAGCGUGAGUGACGGUACCUAUAGAAGAAGCACCGGCCAACUACGUGCCAGCAGCCGCGGUAAUACGUAGGGUGCGAGCGUUGUCCGGAAUUACUGGGCGUAAAGAGCUCGUAGGUGGUUUGUCGCGUUGUUGGUGAAAACUCACA
RNAcentral lists this ribosomal RNA (539 nucleotides) under uncultured Mycobacterium sp. RNAcentral describes it as "bacterial SSU rRNA". It matches the Rfam family "Bacterial small subunit ribosomal RNA", at positions 54 to 606 of the family's 1533-position model. The record is from RNAcentral. Lineage: Bacteria; Bacillati; Actinomycetota; Actinomycetes; Mycobacteriales; Mycobacteriaceae.